Molecule: ribosomal RNA, 497 nt
Filed under: Kinetoplastida sp. LDR2000
Lineage: Eukaryota; Euglenozoa; Kinetoplastea
Description: partial 24S ribosomal RNA
Source: RNAcentral
UUUCGGGUCCAAACAGGCACACUCAAUCUCAGCGACCGCGGUCGCCGGACGGUGUUGGGCAUUCGUGUUGUGUGCACACCAUACGCUCUUGCGAGCUCCCUUUCAGUACGAGAGAAGUACUGGCAACGAAUAUCUUCUCCCUUGCGCGUCUGUUUGACUCCUUGGUCCGUGUUUCAAGACGGGUGAAGAUACCCCAUUUUCGACGUCAACAUUGAGCAUCACUGGAAAGAUACAACUCUCGCUACCCCGUCAGUAUAGGUCGACGAGGCAGUGAGCCGCACUUUAUUCCAGCUCAUUUCGCCAAUCUCCCGUGUCUGCACUUGAGUUUGCCCAACGAGUUUUAAGGUUCGCCGAGAUAAUGCUUCAGGAGUGGUUUUGACCAAUGAAAUGGAGGCACUUUCAUUGUCAUUGUCACGAUUUCAGGUUCUAUGUCACUCUCUUUCCAAAGUGCUUUUCAAACUUUCGCUCACGCUACUUGUUCGCUAUCGGUCUUCCUA